AGAGUUUGAUCCUGGCUCAGGACGAACGCUGGCGGCGUGCUUAACACAUGCAAGUCGAGCGGUAAGGCCUUUCGGGGUACACGAGCGGCGAACGGGUGAGUAACACGUGGGUGAUCUGCCCUGCACUCUGGGAUAAGCCUGGGAAACUGGGUCUAAUACUGGAUAUGACCUCAGCAUGCAUGUGCUGGGGUGGAAAGCUUUUGUGGUGCAGGAUGGGCCCGCGGCCUAUCAGCUUGUUGGUGGGGUAAUGGCCUACCAAGGCGACGACGGGUAGCCGACCUGAGAGGGUGACCGGCCACACUGGGACUGAGACACGGCCCAGACUCCUACGGGAGGCAGCAGUGGGGAAUAUUGCACAAUGGGCGGAAGCCUGAUGCAGCGACGCCGCGUGAGGGAUGAAGGCCUUCGGGUUGUAAACCUCUUUCAGCAGGGACGAAGCGUGAGUGACGGUACCUGCAGAAGAAGCACCGGCUAACUACGUG
This 482-nucleotide ribosomal RNA is filed under the name uncultured Rhodococcus sp. RNAcentral's name for it is "bacterial SSU rRNA". It matches the Rfam family "Bacterial small subunit ribosomal RNA", at positions 8 to 507 of the family's 1533-position model. Lineage: Bacteria; Bacillati; Actinomycetota; Actinomycetes; Mycobacteriales; Nocardiaceae. The record is from RNAcentral.